GUUCUGGGUGAGAAAAGGUGUUAGUCGUAGGAAGAACUUUUCCCCUGGAACCUGAGAGCAGAGAGAAGAGGAGCAGAGACAUUUGCGUCUUGGUCAAGUGAGUGGGAGAGAGUCUUCUGCAUGCCUAUCUGGGAGGUCCAAGACCCUCAUGCAGGACCAGGGUCAGACAGAGGUGGUUCUUGGGUGAAAGGGCGAGAUGGGGCGAGCCCUGAGCGUGCUGCUGUUCGUUGUGAUUCAGCCCUUACUUAAAGGAAAGCUGCCCCCUCCAAGGAAUGUCUCACUAAUUUCUGAAAACUUCAACUACUUUUUGCUGUGGGAAUCGGACCUAUCUGCAGGAAAUGAUCAUUAUGAAGCUGAGAUUAUUUCGUACGGGCGACGAAACCUGACUAAAAUGGAAGGCUCCAAGGAAAUUGUUUCGGGAUCCUCGUGGAAAUGUCAACUGCAUCUUCCGGACAUUCAUGGAUUGUACUGGGUCAGGGUGCGAAUGGUCAGUGGAACCAGGGUAUCCAAUUGGACUCUCUCCAAUGAGUUA
This 532-nucleotide long non-coding RNA is filed under the name Ornithorhynchus anatinus (platypus). Its description in RNAcentral is "lncRNA (ENSOANG00000032532.2)". Lineage: Eukaryota; Metazoa; Chordata; Mammalia; Monotremata; Ornithorhynchidae. The record is from RNAcentral.